GACGAACGCUGGCGGCGUGCUUAACACAUGCAAGUCGAACGGAAAGGCCCUGCUUUUGUGGGGUGCUCGAGUGGCGAACGGGUGAGUAACACGUGAGUAACCUGCCCUUGACUUUGGGAUAACUUCAGGAAACUGGGGCUAAUACCGGAUAGGAGCUCCUGCUGCAUGGUGGGGGUUGGAAAGUUUCGGCGGUUGGGGAUGGACUCGCGGCUUAUCAGCUUGUUGGUGGGGUAGUGGCUUACCAAGGCUUUGACGGGUAGCCGGCCUGAGAGGGUGACCGGCCACAUUGGGACUGAGAUACGGCCCAGACUCCUACGGGAGGCAGCAGGGGGGAAUAUUGCACAAUGGGCGGAAGCCUGAGGCAGCGACGCCGCGUGCGGGAUGACGGCCUUCGGGUUGUAAACCGCUUUCGCCGGUGACGAAGCGUGAGUGACGGUAAUGGGUAAAGAAGCACCGGCUAACUACGUG
Molecule: ribosomal RNA, 468 nt
Filed under: uncultured bacterium
Lineage: Bacteria
Description: partial 16S ribosomal RNA
Rfam family: Bacterial small subunit ribosomal RNA
Source: RNAcentral